This 253-nucleotide ribosomal RNA is filed under the name uncultured bacterium. Its description in RNAcentral is "partial 16S ribosomal RNA". It matches the Rfam family "Bacterial small subunit ribosomal RNA", at positions 524 to 776 of the family's 1533-position model. The record is from RNAcentral.
UACGAGGGGGGCGAGCGUUGUUCGGAAUUAUUGGGCGUAAAGGGUGCGUAGGCGGUUUGGUAAGUCUUGUGUGAAAUCUCCAGGCUCAACUUGGAGUCUGCACGAGAAACUGCCGGGCUUGAGUGUGGGAGAGGUGAGUGGAAUUCCCGGUGUAGCGGUGAAAUGCGUAGAUAUCAGGAGGAACACCGGUGGCGAAGGCGGGUCUCUGGGCCGAUACUGACGCUGAGAAGCGAAAGCGUGGGGAGCGAACAGG